RNAcentral lists this long non-coding RNA (2575 nucleotides) under Musa acuminata (dwarf banana). Its description in RNAcentral is "long non-coding RNA (MACU_LNC007787)". Lineage: Eukaryota; Viridiplantae; Streptophyta; Magnoliopsida; Zingiberales; Musaceae. The record is from RNAcentral.
CCUUGCCUCUUUUCAAUGGUUGCGGGAAAGAAGCUCUUAACAUAGGGCGUUGAAGCUAUUGCGUUCUACUUUCAGGUUAGCAGUGUACUUUCAUUGUUGUAGAGUUCCUGAAGCCAACAAGCAAAUCGUUAGGAAUUCUUUGAGUUGUGUGCUAAGGCGAGUUCCACUUGUUGCGUUGUAUGUUAGUGUGCUAAGGAGAGUUCAAUGUAGGUAAGGGUAACCAGGAAAGAAGCUCAGUAUAAGAGGUCGUUGAAGCGUUAGCAAUGCGAGAGCUGAUAGUGGAAGAGAAUAUAAGCUAUAUCGGUGUGAGAGCUUAGUGGAAGAUAGAAUAAGCUAUAUCGGUGUGAUGUGAGUGUUGUCUACGAGAAUUGCCUUAUUGGCUUUCUUUCCCUUGUAGUGGUAAAGACUUAUAUGCGUCAACAGAUUGUCCCGCAGCAGUGGUCCAAGUGGCAUAUGAUAGAUAGUGGUCCAAGUGGCAUAUGAUAGAAUCUAGUAAACAAUUCAAGUAAACAAGCUUCUUUCUCUCAUAUGAUAGAAUCUAGUAAACAGACUUAUGUUUUUCUCAUUUUGAUAGUUAACGAGCAUCUUUAUCUCAUUUAGAAAAGCGUAAACGAGCAUCUUUCUCUCAUUCUGAUUGCUUCCUAUAGAUAGGGGUAAAUCAUCUGCUUCAAUAACUGUGCUGCUCAUCUUGAACUUGGACUGCAUUAAUGGGUUUGAGUAUAGGGUUUGGGUAAAUCAUCUGCUUCAAUAACUGUGCAGCCUAUCUUGAACUUGGGCAGCAUUAAUGUCACUAUAGGGGUCAAUAAUGGAUUGAGUAGUCAGGGCGCCCUUACGUUUUUCAGUAGCAAACUCUUUUCUUGCCUUGCUUAUCUUCUUGUUCCGACAAACUCACUAACAAGGCUCUUAGCACCUUGCUUCUUGUUUACUUGUUCAUAUGGUACACCUCAGCAGCAUAUAGAAGAACGUAAAAACACUUCCGUGGAGCCAGCUAAAGCUGCCCUUGCUUAUUCGAAAGCCCCUUAGUGAUUGUUCCAUUGUGCUAAGGCGAGUUCCUCUUUCUAGGCCCGAAACUUACUUAUUGAAUAUUGACAUCUCUCUAAGAAUAAGGUCACUGGUUACUUCAUUGCCUAAAGCUUGGUUGUUUGCGCCCUAGUCCUAAUGCUGUAGAGUCAAAUACUCAAUUCUGGAACCAUAUAGGCUCAAAAGAAAGACAGAGGUAGGUUGGGUUGCCAAAAGACAGAGGUAGGUUGGGUUGCCGAAGGAUGGUUAUCGGUUCAAGCACUUAACUCACUUCAGAAUGGAAUUUGGUUGUUCCAUUGCUUCUGAAACUCCACCACUUGCUUAAAGAAAAUAAGCGCUUUAUUGGCAGCGGAACCCUUUAUUACUAUGUUGGCAGGUAAACCCAACACUAUGCGGAACCAGACUGCUAACUCCAAAUGUAGAAUAUUCGAUUUAGAAGCUGCAUUACUUCAAAACGAAAAUGUUGACUGUGCUGACUCAACGCACCCUACUACCCCGCGCAACAAUUAGGAUAGGCACCCCGGAAGUUCUCCUUUACGUUACUUCUUGUCCUUGCUUGUUCUGUUAUAAUAGUGACUUCUUGCCGCUGUAAGUUGAGGUUACUCUAUUAUAGAAGAAUGUGACUCAUAUUGGAAUUUAGGGCACUUAGAAAAGCAUAGAGUCAGGAGUCAAGUGAAGAAAUGACAUAAUAAGGUGUACUCUCCUCCAUUCUUUGAAAAAUCAUAUCCAUCUUUGUUUGCUUUUGUGAAGCAUAUAACUGUUCUCUUUGGAGUAAGUAGUAUAAGUAAUUGCUUCCGAGGUAGGUUACUUUUGCACAUUAUAGGUGCAUGCACUCAAUGAAUAAGAUGCAUCCAGAUAUGGGGAAGGAACUUCAAGUCGAGGAAUCAAUUCUAACUCUUAAAGGGGGAAGGUCUGGAGUUGCAAUUUGGAAUUGUUGCCAGGAACACUAGCGGCCCUUUAGCCAUGACGGACAAAGGACUUGGCGGUUCAAGGCUGGUUGCUUGGUGGCUUUCACUUCCAAUAUAGAAUGAACUUAAGUAGCCUACUCCUAACUCGCAAUCAACUACUGCUUGCUUUUAGUCUUCUUCCUCUGCCCGCCCAGUUAGCCUUCCACUUCUGAACUAGCCUGCGCCCUACCUUGCUUUCAACCUAUAGCUGCAGCUUCUCAGAAUAGAUCUACCGGCAACCAGACUACAUAAACCUCUAUUCUAUGAAGUAAUAAUAAAAGAAUAAAGUGAAGGGUUUUAACCAAUAACUGGAAUUGAGCGACUAAUGAUUAGACUUGCACUGCUGCUUCUAAUGCCUUAACCCUAUAAAUAAGAAUGAACUGUCUGAGUAACAAGAUUGAAGCAAGCAACUGGGAAUGAAAACGAUGCUAAAAGGAAUGAAAAGUCACGGGGCUACUGCCGCCGAAGGAACUUAACUGUGCCUUUGCUACUGGUCCUACUUUAAUGGAUUCAAAGUCAACACUAUUGUCUCUCUCAAAUAGGAAGGGAUAUGGAGUGAUUCAUAAGUGCUAACGGGAUCUGUCUUUGCUUCUGUCUCUACCAGUCUG